This 393-nucleotide long non-coding RNA is filed under the name Musa acuminata (dwarf banana). Its description in RNAcentral is "long non-coding RNA (MACU_LNC006332)". Lineage: Eukaryota; Viridiplantae; Streptophyta; Magnoliopsida; Zingiberales; Musaceae. The record is from RNAcentral.
AUUUGUUAUGUAGACUAAAGCAAAGUCUCACAAGAAGGCUGAUGCUAAAGGCCACCACUGAGGACAAGGAUGUGUCCUGCUGUGGUUCCUGUUGAUGGGUGUCCUCGAAUCUUAAUUGGCUUAAAUUUUUGUUAUUGUGAAUCUCUCUGCAAUCUGGUUCAUGGUUUUCUUAGUCACUGAGACCACAAUGUAUCAGAAAAGGGAAUAUCCUUUCGAUUUUUGUUUGCAAUAAUCCAUCUCUAGCUGUGUCGGGUAAAAUUUAACUUCCCUUUAUUUCACAUUAAAUAAGCAAAUGCAAAAUCAGCUUGCUAACCACAGUCUGCUACUAGUUUUGGUUUGCGUGCUACAUGCUUCUACUUCAUGUUAAACAUCUGGCAACAGCUCUCUUCCUGG